This 379-nucleotide ribosomal RNA is filed under the name uncultured bacterium. RNAcentral describes it as "bacterial SSU rRNA". It matches the Rfam family "Bacterial small subunit ribosomal RNA", at positions 8 to 383 of the family's 1533-position model. The record is from RNAcentral.
AGAGUUUGAUCCUGGCUCAGAUUGAACGCUGGCGGCAUGCCUUACACAUGCAAGUCGAACGGCAGCAUGGAAGAGCUUGCUCUUCUGAUGGCGAGUGGCGAACGGGUGAGUAAAGCAUCGGAACGUACCGUGUAGUGGGGGAUAACGUAGCGAAAGUUACGCUAAUACCGCAUACGCACUGAGGUGGAAAGCAGGGGAUCGCAAGACCUUGCGCUAUACGAGCGGCCGAUGUCAGAUUAGCUAGUUGGUAGGGUAAAGGCCUACCAAGGCGACGAUCUGUAGCGGGUCUGAGAGGAUGAUCCGCCACACUGGGACUGAGACACGGCCCAGACUCCUACGGGAGGCAGCAGUGGGGAAUUUUGGACAAUGGGCGAAAGCC